AUACUUACCUGGCAGGGGAGAUAGCACAACCAUGAAGGUGGUUUUCCCAGGGCGAGGGUUAUCCAUUGCACUCCGGAUGUGCUCACCCCUGCGAUUUCCCCAAAUGUGGGGAACUCGACUGCAUAAUGUGUGGUAGUGGGGGACUGUUCAGGGCUCCCUG
Echinops telfairi (small Madagascar hedgehog) is the source of this 160-nucleotide small nuclear RNA. Its record names the gene U1. It matches the Rfam family "U1 spliceosomal RNA". Rfam says of the family: U1 is a small nuclear RNA (snRNA) component of the spliceosome (involved in pre-mRNA splicing). Its 5' end forms complementary base pairs with the 5' splice junction, thus defining the 5' donor site of an intron. The record is from Ensembl. Lineage: Eukaryota; Metazoa; Chordata; Mammalia; Afrosoricida; Tenrecidae.